ACCCCUGUAGCCCAAUUGGCACGAGGCGCUGCGCUUAGAACGUAGAUAUUGCUGGUUCAAGUCCAGUCAGGGGUA
Molecule: transfer RNA, 75 nt
Filed under: Aliterella atlantica CENA595
Lineage: Bacteria; Bacillati; Cyanobacteriota; Cyanophyceae; Chroococcidiopsidales; Aliterellaceae
Also listed under: 1 other name
Rfam family: tRNA
About the family: Transfer RNA (tRNA) molecules are approximately 80 nucleotides in length. Their secondary structure includes four short double-helical elements and three loops (D, anti-codon, and T loops).
Source: Rfam by way of RNAcentral